AUCAAAUUAAAAUCUAAAACCCAGGAAAUGGCAAUACUCAUCACAAAGGUACUGACAAAAGCCGAUAUAGAGAGUUGUUUAUCAUUCCCCACUUCUUCUAUAGGGCCAGUGCCGUUCCAAGAAGGCCAUUCCAUGGACAUGAACGUCCACGAUCAGAGCGGCCAAGAAUGGAUCUUCCCUUGCACAAUCCAGCGAAAUGACACCGUUGGGCGGGUCCUUUCAGUGGGCUGGGAGGAGUUUGCUCGUCGCAAGAAUCUUGCAGUAAAUGAUAAGGUUAUCUUUCUU
This 285-nucleotide unclassified non-coding RNA is filed under the name Hevea brasiliensis (rubber tree). Lineage: Eukaryota; Viridiplantae; Streptophyta; Magnoliopsida; Malpighiales; Euphorbiaceae. The record is from RNAcentral.